UAUCUCACAAGUGUCUGCCUUAUCAACUUUCGAUGGUAGUUUAUGUGCCUACCAUGGUUGUAACGGGUAACGGAGAAUAAGGGUUCGACUCCCGAGAGGGAGCCUGAGAAACGGCUACCACAUCCAAGGAAGGCAGCAGGCGCGCAAAUUACCCACUCUCGGCAUGAGGAGGUAGUGACGAAAAAUAACGAGACCGUUCUCUUUGAGGCCGGUUAUCGGAAUGGGUACAAUUUAAACCUGUUAACGAGGAUCUAUGAGAGGGCAAGUCUGGUGCCAGCAGCCGCGGUAAUUCCAGCUCUCAAAGUGUAUAUCGUCAUUGCUGCGGUUAAAAAGCUCGUAGUUGGAUCUGCGUCUUAGGACUUGGUCCAUCCGAUUGGAUGUGAACUAAGAACCUAGACUAAUAUUUAGCUAGUUUUACUGUAUGUUACCUUAAUUGGUUGCAUAUAGUGGCUGGCAUGUUUACCUUGAAAAAAUUAGAGUGCUUAACGCGGGCUUAUAAUGCUUGAAUACUCGUGCAUGGAAUAAUGAAAUAGGAUCUUGAUUGUUGUAUGCCUAUUUUGUUGGUUUAAAACAUAAAUACAAUUGAGAUAAUGGUUAAGAGGGACGGACGGGGGCAUUCGUAUCGCUGCGUGAGAGGUGAAAUUCUUGGACCGUAGCGAGACGCCCAACUGCGAAAGCAUUUGCCAAGAAUGUCUUCAUUAAUCAAGAACGAAAGUCAGAGGUUCGAAGGCGAUCAGAUACCGCCCUAGUUCUGACCGUAAACGAUACCAACUAGCGUUCCGUUGGCGGUAAAUACGCCUUGACGGGCAGCUUCCCGGAAACGAAAGUUUUUCGGUUCCGGGGGAAGUAUGGUUGCAAAGCUGAAACUUAAAGAAAUUGACGGAAGGGCACCACCAGGAGUGGAGCCUGCGGCUUAAUUUGACUCAACACGGGAAAACUCACCUGGCCCGGACACCGUGAGGAUUGACAGAUUGAAAGCUCUUUCAUGAUUCGGUGGUUGGUGGUGCAUGGCCGUUCUUAGUUGGUGGAGUGAUUUGUCUGGUUUAUUCCGAUAACGAGCGAGACUCUAGCCUACUAAAUAGUUUAUGCUGGAUAAAUGUAUUCGUACGCUAGUCCAGACAACUUCUUAGAGGGACAAGCGGUGUUUAGCCGCAUGAAGUUGAGCAAUAACAGGUCUGUGAUGCCCUUAGAUGUCCAGGGC
This 1201-nucleotide ribosomal RNA is filed under the name Thelazia callipaeda (thelaziosis nematode). RNAcentral describes it as "SSU rRNA". It matches the Rfam family "Eukaryotic small subunit ribosomal RNA", at positions 293 to 1487 of the family's 1831-position model. Lineage: Eukaryota; Metazoa; Nematoda; Chromadorea; Rhabditida; Thelaziidae. The record is from RNAcentral.